RNAcentral lists this small nuclear RNA (190 nucleotides) under Monopterus albus (swamp eel). Its description in RNAcentral is "U2 spliceosomal RNA (ENSMALG00000016090.1)". It matches the Rfam family "U2 spliceosomal RNA". Rfam says of the family: U2 is a small nuclear RNA (snRNA) component of the spliceosome (involved in pre-mRNA splicing). Complementary binding between U2 snRNA (in an area lying towards the 5' end but 3' to hairpin I) and the branchpoint sequence (BPS) of the intron results the bulging out of an unpaired adenosine, on the BPS, which initiates a nucleophilic attack at the intronic 5' splice site, thus starting the first of two transesterification reactions that mediate splicing. The record is from RNAcentral. Lineage: Eukaryota; Metazoa; Chordata; Actinopteri; Synbranchiformes; Synbranchidae.
UGGACUUCUCUGCCUUUUGGCUAAAAUCAAGUGUAGUAUCUGUUCUUAUCAGUUUAAUAUCUGAUACGUCUCCUACCCGGGACCGUGCAGUAAAUUGAUUUUUGUAGCCGGGAGACGGAACGGGAGCUCGCUCCGUCCACUCCACGCAUCAGCCUGGUAUUGCACUAUUUCUGGGAUUGGUGCGCCCUCU